This 377-nucleotide unclassified non-coding RNA is filed under the name uncultured Gammaproteobacteria bacterium. RNAcentral's name for it is "contains 16S-23S intergenic spacer region". Lineage: Bacteria; Pseudomonadati; Pseudomonadota; Gammaproteobacteria. The record is from RNAcentral.
UCCGGCUUAUCACCGGCAGUUUCUUUAGAGUGCUCAACUGAAUGGUAGCAACUAAUGACAAGGGUUGCGCUCGUUGCGGGACUUAACCCAACAUCUCACGACACGAGCUGACGACAGCCAUGCAGCACCUGUGUGUCGGUUCUCUUUCGAGCACUCCCUAAUCUCUCAGGGAUUCCGACCAUGUCAAGGGUAGGUAAGGUUUUUCGCGUUGCAUCGAAUUAAUCCACAUCAUCCACCGCUUGUGCGGGUCCCCGUCAAUUCCUUUGAGUUUUAAUCUUGCGACCGUACUCCCCAGGCGGUCUACUUCACGCGUUAGCUGCGUUACCAAGACAAUUAAGUCCCGACAACUAGUAGACAUCGUUUAGGGCGUGGACUAC